CUCGUAGGUGGCCAACUAAGUCAGACGUGAAAUCCCUCGGCUUGACCGGGGAACUGCGUCUGAUACUGGAUGGCUUGAGUUCGGGAGAGGGAUGCGGAAUUCCAGGUGUAGCGGUGAAAUGCGUAGAUAUCUGGAGGAACACCGGUGGCGAAGGCGGCAUCCUGGACCGACACUGACGCUGAGGAGCGAAAGCCAGGGAGCAAACG
This 206-nucleotide ribosomal RNA is filed under the name uncultured bacterium. RNAcentral describes it as "partial 16S ribosomal RNA". It matches the Rfam family "Bacterial small subunit ribosomal RNA", at positions 568 to 774 of the family's 1533-position model. The record is from RNAcentral.